GGGGAUAUGGUGUAGGGGUAUCACGUCUGCUUUGCAUUGUUUCGAGCUUCUUUCGAACGACGGCAAUUUGCAGAAGGCCCGGGGUUCAAAUCCCCGUGUCUCCA
Non-coding RNA from Trichoderma citrinoviride, 104 nucleotides. The record is from the annotation of a RefSeq genome assembly. Lineage: Eukaryota; Fungi; Ascomycota; Sordariomycetes; Hypocreales; Hypocreaceae.